This 491-nucleotide ribosomal RNA is filed under the name uncultured bacterium. RNAcentral describes it as "partial 16S ribosomal RNA". It matches the Rfam family "Bacterial small subunit ribosomal RNA", at positions 29 to 507 of the family's 1533-position model. The record is from RNAcentral.
AGUGAACGCUGGCGGUAGGCCUAACACAUGCAAGUCGAACGGCAGCACAGUAAGAGCUUGCUCUUACGGGUGGCGAGUGGCGGACGGGUGAGGAAUACAUCGUAAUCUACUUUUUCGUGGGGGAUAACGUAGGGAAACUUACGCUAAUACCGCAUACGACCUACGGGUGAAAGCAGGGGAUCUUCGGACCUUGCGCGAUUGAAUGAGCCGAUGUCGGAUUAGCUAGUUGGCGGGGUAAGGCCCACCAAGGCGACGAUCCGUAGCUGGUCUGAGAGGAUGAUCAGCCACACUGGAACUGAGACACGGUCCAGACUCCUACGGGAGGCAGCAGUGGGGAAUGUUGGACAAUGGGCGCAAGCCUGAUCCAGCCAUACCGCGUGGGUGAAGAAGGCCUUCGGGUUGUAAAGCCCUUUUGUUGGGAAAGAAAAGCAGCAGGUUAAUACCCCGCUGUUCUGACGGUACCCAAAGAAUAAGCACCGGCUAACUUCGUG